Molecule: ribosomal RNA, 404 nt
Filed under: Actinomycetes bacterium
Lineage: Bacteria; Bacillati; Actinomycetota; Actinomycetes
Description: Actinobacteria bacterium partial 16S ribosomal RNA
Rfam family: Bacterial small subunit ribosomal RNA
Source: RNAcentral
UGGGGAAUAUUGGACAAUGGGCGCAAGCCUGAUCCAGCCAUGCCGCGUGAGUGAUGAAGGCCCUAGGGUUGUAAAGCCCUUUCACCGGUGAAGAUAAUGACGGUAACCGGAGAAGAAGCCCCGGCUAACUUCGUGCCAGCAGCCGCGGUAAUACGAAGGGGGCUAGCGUUGUUCGGAUUUACUGGGCGUAAAGCGCACGUAGGAGGACUUUUAAGUCAGGGGUGAAAUCCCGGGGCUCAACCCCGGAACUGCCUUUGAUACUGGAAGUCUUGAGUAUGGUAGAGGUGAGUGGAAUUCCGAGUGUAGAGGUGAAAUUCGUAGAUAUUCGGAGGAAAACCAGUGGCGAAGGCGGCUCACUGGACCAUUACUGACGCUGAGGUGCGAAAGCGUGGGGAGCAAACAGG